This 301-nucleotide ribosomal RNA is filed under the name uncultured bacterium. RNAcentral describes it as "partial 16S ribosomal RNA". It matches the Rfam family "Bacterial small subunit ribosomal RNA", at positions 509 to 807 of the family's 1533-position model. The record is from RNAcentral.
CAGUCGCCGCGGUAAUACAGAGGGUGCGAGCGUUAAUCGGAUUUACUGGGCGUAAAGCGUGUGUAGGUUGUUGUUCAAGUCAGUUGUGAAAUCCCUGGGCUCAACCUGGGAACUGCUUCUGAGACUGAACGACUAGAGUACGGUAGAGGGUGGUGGAAUUUCCGGUGUAGCGGUGAAAUGCGUAGAUAUCGGAAGGAACAUCAAUGGCGAAGGCAGCCACCUGGGCCUGUACUGACACUGAGACACGAAAGCGUGGGGAUCAAACAGGAUUAGAUACCCCUGUAGUCCCUGUCUCUUAUAC